RNAcentral lists this long non-coding RNA (15216 nucleotides) under Gossypium barbadense (sea-island cotton). Its description in RNAcentral is "long non-coding RNA (GBAR_LNC001183)". Lineage: Eukaryota; Viridiplantae; Streptophyta; Magnoliopsida; Malvales; Malvaceae. The record is from RNAcentral.
UAAAAGACAAGCUUCAUUAAUAUAAUAAAAUUUUUACCUUCAGCAUCAAUAGAACAUUAUGACAUGUUGACAACUAGAAUUGUCACAACUUAAGUGCAAUAUAUUUGGAUUGAUUGCAAGCACUAAACAUGAUAAGUAAAUCAAACCCGAAUGCUCCAAAGCGGCGAAUAAAAUUGACAAAAAAUUGAGCAUCCACUAGACUGUAAAGAACAACAAGAAAACUAUCUCUAAAAUUAUUUGUAAAAGCAAGAUUACAUGCAUUUAUAAAUUGAAUAAUAAUAAACGAAUGAAUGAAAUUUAUUAAAUUAUUUAAGAAUGAAAACACUUUAACUUUUAAAAAUAAAAAAUUUAUAUUAAUUUUUAAUAUAUAAUUUUUAAUGAAAAUUUUAUAAAUUAAAUUAACCGUGUUUGCUUUCUAAUUAUUAUCAUUUCUCACUCAAAUUUUUAAGUUUUAAUUGAUAGUGUGUGUAGACAGCCCAUUUCGCCCGGGGCCCAGAACACUACCAAAACCAAAACAAAAGCAGACCAAAUAAAAAAAAAACAAAGUCCAAAUUACAUACCCAACACAAAAACGAAAAUAAAACCCAAUUUAAUCAACCAAAACCAACCCAAAGCCUUAAACCCAAUUACAAUAGGCCCAAAUCUGAAACCCAAUCCAAACACCUAACACUAGCCCAAAAUUCCAACCCAAAACUUUAACAUUUUUGAAAAACCCUAGUAUACCUAAAGGUCUCAGCCGCCGCACGCCUCCCUCGCGCACCAAACACCACUUCCGUGUCGUACGCUCCUCCACUAAGCCACGUCAGAAACGUGCUCAGUCACGAACCUGCAAACAAGUGCAAAAUGAACAGUAAAGAAGUUUUUUUGUUUUUCCAUUCGGCUAUAAAACCGAAUCAAACCGAAUGUAAAGGGAUCUUUUUUUUUUGAUAGAUACGAAUACAACAGAAAAACACAAAGAAAAUCAAUAGCAAUCAGAAAUCUGAUUCAAAGCUUAAAAGGUUGUUUUCCACUUUUUCCUUCGUUUUCACAGUUAUUCCCUUAUUACUUCUUUUCGUUCUUUUCUUUACAAACGAUUUUAAAUAACACAAGAGAGAGAGAGGGGAGACUUACUGGGGUCGAGCUCGUUUUGUCGGUGGCCUGGGCGCACUAGAUCUCCGAUGAAGGAGGCGCCGGCCAAAUAGUGGAGGAAAGGAGAAAAGUUUAGGGUUUUUGUUUUUUAAAUUAAAGGUCUCAAAAAGAAAAAGGAAAGGCUUUAGAUUUUCUAAAGUUUUUUUUUUUAUGUUUCAAAAAAUAUAAAAUAAAGGUUUUUAUUAAACUUUAAAACAGCAGUAUUGUGGGGGAGGGGGGGGGGUUUAAGGGGUUAUUUCGCAGUUAGUCCCCCUUUUCUGUGUUUCUGUUCGAUUGGGCCAAUGUUUUCUCUUUUAUUUUCUUUAAAUUUUUCCUAGGAACUUUAUAUCAGUUUUGUUUUAAUCCUCGCCUAAACACAGUGUUUUGAGGUUUUGGGACAUUUUUUUAUUUUAAAUCCCCGAAUAUUUGGGCGCAUUUUGUUGGUCCCCGAUCCUGUUCUAAUAAUUUGCUUUGUUUAUGAAUUAUCCUUUUAAUUUUACUUUUAUUUCAAUUACUUUUUUUUUGGUUAUUCAUUUUUUUUAAAAAAACAAUACUAUUUUAACAUAUUAUUUUGAAUUAUUUUAUUUCACACUGUUUUUUUAUUUUCAUUUGAAUAUUUUUAUAUUUUAUCUUAUAACACACUUUUUUUGAAUUUUUUUGUUAUAAAUAUUCUUUGUUUUAAUAUUGCGCUAUUAUUUUUAUUAAAUUACUUGUAUUAUAUAUAUUAUCUGUUUUAGAUUGAUAUACAUAUAUAUAUAUUGUUUUGUAUAAUUCAUUUUAACUUACUUCUCACGUGACAUUUAUUCUAAAAUUAGUUUAUAUAUUAUUAUUUUACAUAUUAAUAUUUUUUUUCAUUUCAUGUGAAUUAUUUAUUUAUAUGCAUAUUAUUUACCUAGAGGGAUUUAUAUUUUGUAUAUUAUGUAUUUUGUUUUUUAGUACUUUUUUCAAGACUCCUUCAUAUAUUAAUCGUUUUUAUUCUUACACGAAAUUUGUUGUUAGUAUAUCGAUGAUUUCACAUUUUUCAUUUCUCACAUUAUUAAUUCUUCUUUAUUUUAAAACUUGCUACAUUUCAUUUGUGUUGAUUUGCUUGGUACUUUUCUAAAAAUUGCCUUGUAAUUCAUUGGCUUUUGUGUGUUAAUUUUAGUCUUUGCAUAAGGUAUGUAGCCAUUGCAUAUACCUUCUUGUCAUAUGAUUAUGAUUUAUUUGUCUAGAACUUUUGCCAUGUAAUAUUAUGCAUGUUCGUGAUUAUGUUUUUAUCUCCUGCUAUCAUUGAGAUUUAAACUCCAAUCUAUGUAGUCAACAUUAGUGGUUUCAUUUCUUCUCCAAACAAACCUAAAUAAGUAUAUUUUGACUCGGCUUAUACCAUCGUUAAUUCGAACCCUCCCAACUUAAGGAAUUAUUUCGUGUUUGAAGGUCUGAGAAAUCGUGCCCAAUCGUGCUGGGUUUCGAUUUUUCGUUCAGCUAAAAUACGGAAUAUCCUUUGAAAAUUUCGUCCCCGUUUUUAAAAAGAAUUAAAAUGAGGCAAUAUUUCGUAUUUGGGGAGUUUGAGAGAUCAUGCCCAAUCGUGCUGGGUUUCGUUUUUUCAUUCGACUAAAAUAUGGAAUAUCCUUUUUUGAAAUUUCAUCUACGCUUUCUUAAACUAAAACGAGGCAAUAUUUCAUGUUUAAAAGUUUGGGAGAUCGUGCCCAAUCGUGAUGGGUUUUGAUUUUUCAUUCGACUAAGAUACGGAAUAUCCUUUCGACAUUUCAUCCAUAUUUCGUAUUUAGAAAUUCGAUAAAUCGUGCCCAAUCGUGUUAGGUUGUGAUUUACCGCUUGGUCAAAUAAUCAAAUAUCUUUUUGAAAUUUCAAAUGCAUGAGUUUUGGAAGUUAUAAAAUGAUCUUGUAUUGAGGAUUUGAAAUAUUGUGUCCAAUCGUGCUGGACAUGAUAUUUUAUUCCUUUUGAACGAGAGAAUCUCAGUAUCCAAUUCAAGUUAUCUAAAUGUUUUAAAGUAAUUGAAUUUCAAAUUUUCAGCAUUAGGUCAAUAAUUGAUCAAUACCGUACCAAUUUUGGGCGUUGCGAAGGUGCUAUCCUUCCUCGCGCGUAGCUGACCUUCGAAUCUGUCUUCUAGUUUUUUUCGUAGACCAAAAAAUGUUGUUUUAAUAAACCAAAAAUGCUUUAUUAAAAUGAUCGACCAUAGGGUGACCCGAUCACACCUAAACAAAAAAGAUUGAUGGCGACUCCAUUUCUGUUUUAAAGUCGACCUUUGUUUUUCAAAAUAAAAAUGGUUUCGACAGCUUGGAAACUCCGCUGGGAUCAUAAGAGAGUCAAGCCGUAAAAUUGAUCAUUUUCUAUCUUUUUGUCGAAAAUUUAAAAUUUGGUUUUUAACAUACGAUUCUUUCAUCGCAUUUCAUGGGUUUUAUGGUUCAUCAUUUUAUUCAUGUUUCGUACUUUGAUUUUUAUAUCCCCUUGCAUCAUCUUGCAUGACCAUUGUGGCCGCAGCCUUAAGUGGGAGUGAGAAACUAUUUUCUUCGUGAGUUUUUCACCUCCGUGUAGGAUAGUGGAUCGCUUUCGGGAUACAUUCGUACCUAUGUCUUCGUGAGGUUUUCACCUCCGUGUAGCCAUAGGAAAAUGUAUUCCCCUAAACUGAACUCGGUCCAUAUGAGCCUAUAAUGGGUGAUGAUCUAGGAAUCUGUUGGUUCAGGUACCAUUUUCUUUAGUACCAAACCGUAUAUAAUGAGCCUUAAGAGCCCAACCCUAGGCAGAAUUACUCCAAACCCUAGCAAUCACCCAAAUUGGUGCUUGGUUAUUUUUUUAUUUACUUUGACUAUUAUAUUUGGUAUAUUAUAUUGACUUGUUAUGUUUUAUUGUGGCCAUAAUUGCAUGUCAUUUCAUUCAAAAGAGGUGUCGAUUCACGUUUGAUUACUCAUUUAGGGAGCUUUUCAUAGAGGAUGAAUUUCUUGAUAAAAUAGAAGAUAAUGCGACUGUCCGUAUAUGGUCAGAGAAAACGGAAUUAGAGAAAGGGGAUAGUCUUACCGAGGGGUAUACAUCAGAAUUGUGUGAUUACACCCGCAUUAGUGUGACGCAAAAUGAUCUUUAAGAAUUAAAAGAGAUAUGGGACCAGUGGUAUGAAGAGACCAAGCGGUUGUUCUAUGGUAGUUAUGGAGAUUUGCCUUACUUAUUUGACAUCAAGGUAGACGAACACUUAUGCCGGGCUCUCGCUCAGUAUUGGAAUCCUGCCUACAGUUGUUUUACCUUUGGGAAGGUAGAUUUGGUACCUACCGUAGAAGAAUAUACAGCUUUACUUCAUUGUCCGAAGGUUCAGGUCGAUAGAGCUUAUUCCAAGGCUGCUAAUGCCCCACCUUUUGUAAAAAAAUUGAUGAAUGUUUCGGGGAUGAGUGAGUAGUGGAUUGCAGCAAUGGUCAAGCAAAAAGGGGAAAAUAAUUACAUCCCAUGGAGGAGUUUGAGAGAUCUGAUUCUAGUGCAUCCUGAUGCGAAAAAGAGAGUUGACGUAUUUGCCUUGAGCAUCUAUGGUUUAAUAAUUUUCCCUAGGGCAUUAGGGUAUGUAGACGAGAUGGUCUUGGAUCUCUUUGACCGACUUGACAAAGAAGUUACACCUGUUCCGGCAAUCUUGGCUGAGAUAUUUAGAUUUUUGAAUGCAUGUAGGAGAGCUGGAGAAGGCAGAUUUAUAGGGUGUGCGCAAUUAUUGUUGGCUUGGUUCCAUGGCCAUUUCUAGAAGGUGGAUAAAAUUUCUUAUCGGGUUUUCUCCGAGAAUUACUCCCUGUUAAGAGAGAUAGCGGUUACACCUAGAAGAGAUGACAUAUUAGAAGAAAAUUGGAUCACACUCCUUCGAAGUCUCUAAGAGGAGGAUGUUGAGUGGAGAGCUCUUUGGUUUGUUCUGGAUGAGAUCUUCUAUCGGUGUGGGAGUUUUAAUUGGGUACCUCUACCUGAAAUUUGGGGAGCCGUGGGAUAUGUUCAUUUGCUCGUACUAAGGCAAUAUAGAUCGAGACAGUUCAUAACGGUAAUACAUGGGCUAGCUUAAUCUGAAUUCACGUAUAGGGGAGUUAACUACAAGGAAAAGAUUAAGGAGAUUUCUAGUGCUUGGAGCCAGAUUCGUCGAGUGAAAAGAGUUACUGUAGGACCAAUGGCAACCCCCGAAUAUGACAGUUGGUGAGGUAGAAGAGUUAAUGAUAAUAUCCCCAGACCAAAGCAAGAAGGCACUCGACCGAUGCAAAAAUACUUGCAAGUAGUUCUCUCCGAGUUAGAAACAAUAAAACAGGACUUUGAAAAGAGAAAUUUGGAGUUAGGGAAAAAGAUAGAAUAAUUGGAGGAGGAAAAGAUGCAUUUGAGGUUAGAUGUCGAUGUUUAGAAACUCGAGGCCGAGAAGUUAAGAAAGGGAAAAAAGAAGGCCGAAGAAGACUUGGACAGUUUGAAGACUGAUUACAAGAAACUACAUAUGUCAAUGAGAACAGUCGGAUUGGGAAAUACAUCGGAGCAAUGGUGACAAGAAAUUCAAGCGGAAAAGGCCAGAGCUGAUCAAUGGAAGAAGAGGUUCCAUGAUGCUCGAGUACGUGAAAGCGCCUUGAAGAAGAGUUUAGCUGAGGGCCAAGAUGAGAUGCGGAUGUUAGCGGCUCGGGUAGCAGAGUUAGAAAAGACACCACAUCAGAGUCGUGGUCAUAACUCGGACAUUGAACUAAGGGCAAGCCUGAGCAAGAUCGAGGAUUUGAAAGGAAAGGUAGAAGAACUUGAGACUGCGCUACGGAAUUGUGAACUUCAAAUUGAAUUCCUUAAGUCGAAUAAUGAGCAGGGGAAGGAGCUGCUCCGUCGAUCAUAGGACCAGGUCAGGGAUAGAGAUCAUAUCAUGGGCAAAGCUGUGGCUCAGAUUCGAGAAGUGGCUGAUCAUUUACAGACCUUGGCAGUUCAAGCUGAUGUGUUAAGUGUGAAGUACGAGUUAGAGUCAGAUCGGGAUCGUGAGCUGGCUUGCCUUCUUAAGAGAGUUAAAACUCUGAGCAUUAGAACAAAGCUGUAUAUAUGAUCUAUUUUAUGUAAAGAUUUUUUUUUCUAAUAAAAUUUUCUAAUUGAAAUUAAAUCAGAAUCGACAUCUCUUUCAUCUUGCAUACAUCUCAUUCAUUUGCAUUACAUCACAUCAUGUGCACUAAACUUCACAAAGGAACCCUAAUUAAAAGUAAUUAUAUUAUAGUUACCCUGGAACAUCAAUACUACACAUGGAAAAAUACCAAAAUUAUGAAUCAAAAGCUAGAAAGACUGGAACAAAUGCAGAAAGAAAUACAGGAGCAGCUACAGGCACAGAUGCAAGAGCAACUGGCCAAGAUUUAGCAGGAUAUGAAAGAUCAGAUGCAAGAAUCGCAGAAGGACAUGAUGGAUCAGCUAACUCAGUUGUUGCUCGGAGGGCCAGGAAAAGGGAAGAGCCAUGUGGUCAACCCAGAGGGUGAUAGCGAGAUCCUUGUUUACCUUCCAGGUUUCACCCUAGUGAAUACCCCAGUACCACCACAAAGGGUGUCUGUCAAUAUCAAACCUCAGUAUUAGGCUGGUAUUUCGGCACCGAUGAAUUUACCGACAGGCUCGUAUUCUAAACCUUAGGACGAUUGGGUAAAUCCUUCGGUCCCCGACUUUGAUGAGAUGACAGAGGUGAAGAAGGCAAAAGGAGAACUCCCAAGGCAGCUGGAAGUCCGAUACAAAUGGCUAGAGGAGAAAUUCAAGGUGCUGGAAAGCACAGAUUAUCAAUGUGGUAUGGAUUCUAAAGAGUUGAGUUUGGUUCCAGAUCUAGUGCUCCCUCCGAAGUUCAAAAUGUCGGAGUUUGAGAAAUAUAACGGAACCAACUGCCCUAAGGCCCACAUUACGAUGUUUUGUCAGAUGAUGAUUGAUCAUGUCAAUAAUAAUCAGUUGCUAGUUCACUGUUUCCAGGAUAGUCUGAGUGGGGCUGCAGCCAAAUGGUACUAUCAACUGAGUCGCACCCAAAUUAAAUCGUGGAGGGACUUAGCACAGGCCUUCAUGAAGCAGUAUUUCCAUGUGACGGACAUAGCGCUUGAUCGGAUCACGUUACAGAACAUGGAGAAAAAGUCAAAUGAGAGUUUCAGGCAGUAUGCUCAGAGGUGGAGGGAAGUCGCUACGCAAGUUCAACCUCCACUGUUAGAAAAAGAAACAACCAUGUUUUUCAUUAAUACUUUGAAGGCACCUUUUAUUAACCACAUGCUGGGAGGCGCGAUAAAUAGUUUCACGGACAUAGUGAUGUCCGAUGAAAUGAUAGAGAAUGCAAUAAGGUGCGAAAAGAUAGAGGCGGGGGAGAGCGCUAGGAGGUCAGCCCCAAAGAAGAGUGAAAAUGAGGUCGGCAAUGUGAGCAUGGGUCAUGUAAAACCAAUCACAAUUAAUCAACCAAAAAUAAUGGUCACGGGCCAGUAAGCUUUGACAAGGUAAGAGCCCAAUACAAAGUAGAAUAUGGAGAAGCCCCAGUUUACACCCAUUCUGAUAACGUAUCGGGAGUUUUACAAAAAUUUAUUCGAUGCACACGUUGUAUCCCCGUUCUACUUAAAACUAUUACGACCCCCAUCCCCCAAGUGGUACGAUGCAAGUGCCUAAUAUGAAUAUCAUGCGGCAUCACGGGGCACUCGAUAGAGAACUGCACCUCUUACAAAAGAGUAGUCGAAAGGCUCAUCAACAUGGGUGUUGUGAAGUUCGAUGAUGCACUUGGUGUAGGAAACCCGUUACCUAAUCAUACUGUUACUGGAUGAUUAUUUCACGAUCGAAAGUCGAUGAAGCUGAAGCCAGAACGACGCUAAGAGUGGUGAUUCAGAAACCCGUGGCUUUUCCUUACAAGGAUAACAAAAGGAUGCCUUGGAAUUAUAACUAUAAUGUGACGUCAUUAGGAGAGGGGAGGCUGGUCAGCAAGCCAAAUACAAAAGCCGAGCUUGUAAAAGAGAAAUAUUUGAUGUUUGAACAGAGGAAAGAGAGGACAAAACCACUGGUUAAUGAAUCAGUAACCACGAAUGAAGCAAAAAAAUUUUUGAAGUUCCUAAAACACAGUGAAUAUAGUGUUAUGGAACAGUUGCACAAGCAGCCAGCACGUACCUCGGUACUAGCUUUGCUCCAAAAUUUGAAGGUACACCGUAAUGCGUUGAUGAAGGUGUUGAAUGAAACUUAUGUUGCUGAAGACAUUUUGGUGAACAAGCUAAACCGUCUUGUCAGCAAUAUAAGUGCCGAUAACUUCAUUUCUUUCAGCGAUGAUGAGAUACCGCCAGGUGGCAUGAGGUCCACCAAAGCUCUGCACAUCACCACUCGGUGCAAAGGGUAUUGAUUGACAAUGGGUCAGCACUAAAUGUCUUGCCGCUGCCUACAUUGAAUAGGUUACCUAUAGAUAGCUCUCAUAUGAAGAUAUGCUAGAACAUAGUGAGAGCAUUUGAUGGCACCGAGAGAAAAGUAAUGGGUAGAAUUAAGAUUUCCCUUCCGAUCGGAUCCAACACGUACGAGGUAGACUUUCUCAUAAUGGACAUUAGAACCUCUUAUAAUUGUUUACUAGGGAGGCCUUAGAUUCCCUCAGCGGGAGUGGUACCAUCAUCAUUGCACCAGAAGCUGAAGUUGGUAACGGAGGGUCGGCUGAUAACCAUAAAUACAGAGGAGGACAUUAUCGCCUCUGUUACUAGUGACGCGCCGUACAUCGAGAAUGAUGAUAAAGCAAUUGAGUGUUCCUUUCAAUCAUUGCAAUUUGUCAAAGCGACUUUCAUUAUCAAAUGAGGCAAAUCCCAAUGCUGAAAAUAUUCAAAGCUACGAGGAUGAGCUUACGACUGAUGGUAGGAAAAUGGGCAUUGCCUGGAAGGGGACUUGAAAAAUACCUCCACGGAUAGAUUGAAGUGCCGAGUUUAGCUGGCAAGCAGGAUCGUUUCAAUUUGGGAUAUAGGCCAGACGCUAGAUAAAGAAAGAAAGAGUUAGAGAGAAAACAUGAUAGACGAAGGGCACGAUUGAGUGGGACAGAGGUCAGGUGGGAGUCAAUGACCUUUCUCCACAUAUCCAAUACAUUCGUGUUAGGAGGAAUUAUUCAUCUGGAAUAAGAGAUGACAAGAGAAAAGACAGCUAAAGAUUUGAUGGGCAAUUUGAGCAUCAAUGCCUUAUUCGAGGAAGGAAUGAUGGAAGAAGAUUUAUCAGGCAUUCGCCCUUAUGAGCCUAGCAGUGUUCUAAACAAUUGGACUGUGGAAGAAAUUCCUGUAGUUCUUAGAGCUAAGCAGAGUAAUGUUCAGAAUAAACUUAUUGUUUUAAGCCUGUUUUAAGCCUAGAAACAAUAAGAAUCGUUUGUCAAAUAGGUUCAUGUUCAAACAUCUUUAUUUUUAAUAAGAAAUGCAUUUUUAAGUCUCAUUCUAGAUAAAUAUUUUUUUUUUCUUUUUCCUCUCACAUUCUCAUUACAUUCAUAAUCAUGCCGUACAAAUAAGCCACUCUUAGAUUCAUUCUUUGGAUAUUUCUUUCAUGUUUCAAUAAGUUUCCGGAUAUCAACGACACAAACGUCACUGUUACAGACCCAGAACUUCCUGUUGAGCGAGAUAUGUGUCUAGAGGGAUCUCAGGAUUUCGAAGUUGACGAAGAUUAUGGGUUAUCUCUGGAUUUGUUAAGGAUAGUAGAACGAGAAGAGAAAAAAAUUCUACCUUAUAAAGAGACAACCGAGAAUGUGGCUUUAGAGGAAGGGAAAGAAGUAAAAAUUGAAACUUGCAUAACUGAGGAAACAAAGGGAGACCUCGUUAAACUACUGCAAGAGUUCAAAGAUGUCUUCGCAUGGUCGUAUCAAGACAUGCCUGGGUUAAGCGUUGAUAUUGCGGUACAUCAAGUCCCCAAAAAAGAAGAGUGCAAGGCUGUUCAACAGAAGCUGCGAAAGAUGAGACCCGAUGUUACAGUAAAAAUAAGGGAAGAGGUAAGGAAACAAUUUGAUGCUGGGUUCUUACAAGUGGUGAAUUACUCGGAAUGGGUAGCCAAUGUGGUCCCCGUCCCUAAGAAAGAUGGAAAAGUGCGGAUGUGUGUGGAUUACAGAGACCUAAACAAGGCUAGCCCAAAGGACAACUUCCUACUACCCCAUAUAGACACUCUAGCGGAUAAUACGGUGGGUUACUCAUUGUUCUCUUUCAUGGACAGUUUCUCGGGAUACAAUCAGAUAAAGAUGCUUACAGACAUGGAAAAGAUCAUGUUCAUAACCUUGUGGGGAACAUUUUGCUAUAAGGUGAUCACCAUUUAGGUUAAAAAAUGCGGGAGCAACGUAUCAAAGAGCCAUGGUAACCUUGUUUCACGACAGGAUGCACAAGGAGAUUGAGGUUUACAUCGACGAUAUGAUUACAAAAUCCCAAACUGAAAAAUAGCACAUACAUGUUUUGAGGAAAUUUUUCUUGAGGCUGAGAAAGUUCCAGCUAAAACUCAAUCCAACAAAAUGUACUUUCGGAGCUAGAUCAGGAAAGCUGUUCAGUUUUGUCGUCAGAGAAAAAGGAAUCGAGGUCGAACCCGACAAAUUCAAGGCCAUACAACAAUUACCUCCGCCAUGCACUCAGAAAGAAGUUCGAGGUUUUCUGGGAAGACUAAACUACAUCGCCCGAUUUAUUUCGCAACUAACCGGGAAAUGCGACCCCAUAUUUUGUCUUUUCAAGAAACACAACCCAGACGUGUGGAAUGAAAAGUGCCAGAAGACCUUUGACAGGGUUAAAUAAUAUCUGUUCAAUCCUCCAGUGUUAAUACCACCCAACCCGAGUAGACCAUUGAUAUUGUAUUUGAUAGUAUUUGACUGCUCAAUAGGAUGUGUGUUUGGGCAACACGAUGAGACAGGAAAGAAAGAAAAGACAAUAUACUACCUCAGUAAGAAAUUCACUGAGUGUGAGAUGGGAUAUUCGCCAAUCGAGAAGCUACGUUGCGCUUUGGUCUGGACAACCCGGAGAUUAAGGCAUUACAUGUUGUACCAUUCGAUUUGGUUAAUCUCGAAAUUGGAUCCUCUUAAGUACAUGAUAGAGUUAGCCGCUUUGAAUGGAAGGAUGACCCGAUGGUAAAUCCUGCUCUCUAAAUUCGACAUAGUUUAUAUGAAUUAGAAGGCUGUAAAAGGAAGUGCAGUAGUAGAUUUUCUAGCCAGUAGAGCUUUAGAGGAUUACGAGUCUUUAAACUUCAAUUUUUCCAAUGAAGAUCUAAUGUAUGUGGCAGCCGCCCAAGAAGAUACUCUAGAAGAUCAUCCUUAGAAAUUGAAUUUCGACGAAGCGUCAAACGCCAUUGGUAAUGGAAUUGGGGCAGUCUUGAUAUCCUCAAAGGGAGAUCACUAUCCAUUCACUUGCAAAUUGGAUUUUGAUUGUACAAAUAGUAUAGUAGAGUACGAGGCAUGUAUCAUGGGCAUCCAUGCUGCCGCAGAGCGCCAAAUCAAGGUGUUAGAGGUAUAUGGGGAUUCCACACUAGUAAUCUAUCAGCUCAACAGUGAAUGGGAAACAAGAGACUUAAAAUUGAUCAAUUACCGAGAGCUGGUUAUGGAUUUAAUCAAGGUGUUUGACGAUAUCACUUUUCAUUACCUUCCAUGCGAUGAAAAUCAGAUAGCUGAUGCCUUGGCUACGUUAGCUUCCAUGAUCAAAGCAAAUAACCAAGAGGAUAUAAAGCCGAUCCAGAUGAGUAUUUGUGAUAUUCCAGCACAUUGCUGCAAUAUCGACGAAGAGGAGGAGAGGGAUAAUCAUCUUUGGUAUCAGGAUGUUCUACGAUAUGUAAAAAAUCGUGUAUAUUCUGAUCAGAUAACUGAAAAUGAUAAAAGAACAUUGAGGAGGCUGGCCGGUGACUAUGUCUUAGACGGAGAAAUCCUGUAUAAAAGAAGGAAAGAAAAAGUACUGCUAAGAUGUGUUAACGCUGUUAAAGCAAAGAAAAUCCUAGAAGAAAUCCAUGAAGGUGUCUGCGAGACGCAUGCCAAUGGGUUCACAAUGGCCAGGCAAAUCAUGAGAUUCGGGUAUUACUAGUCUACAAUGGAGGGAGAUCGCAUAAACUAUGCCAAGAAAUGCCAUAAGUGCCAAAUUUAUGGUGACAAGAUUCAUGUGUCUCCUUCACCUCUUCAUGUUAUGACCUCCCCAUGGCCUUUCUCAAUGUGGGGCAUGGACGUUAUUGGGUCGAUUUCGCCGAAGGCUUCUAACGGAUAUCGUUUCAUCUUUGUGGUCAUUGAUUAUUUCACCAAGUGGGUCGAGGCUGCUACAUACGCCAACGUCACAAAGUCGGCAGUCAGUAAAUUCUUGAAAAAGGAAAUUAUAUGUCGAUAUGGCAUGCUAGAGAGGAUCAUAUCUGAAAAUACGUUAAAUUUAAAUAACAACAUGAUAGUGGAAGUCUACAGUCAAUUCAAAAUUAAACACCACAACUCAUCAUUGUAUCGCCCAAAAAUGAAUGGGGCAGUUGAGGCGGCUAAUAAAAAUAUAAAGAAGAUCGUGAGGAAAAUGGUUGAGACCUAUAAAGAUUGGCAUGAAAAGCUACCAUUUGCUCUCUAUGCCUAUCGAACGUCGGUCAGAACUUCUACCGGGGCGAAACCUUUCUCGUUGGUUUAUGGGAUGGAGACAGUUUUGCCUAUUGAAGUCAAGAUUCCUUCUCUCCGGGUUUUAUUGGAAUUGAAGCUAGAUGAAGCAGAAUGGGUCCAAUCCCGGUAUGAUCAACUGAACUUGAUUGAAGAAAAGAGGCUGAAGGCUAUCCGUAAUGGUCAAAUGUACCAGAAACGAAUGAUGUAAGCUUACAACAAGAAAGUUCGCCCAAGAGUAUUCCAGGAAAGGGAUUUGGUAUUGAAAAAGAUUCUCCCUAUGCAAAAGGAUCUCAGGGGGAAAUGGAUGUCAAACUGGAAAUGACCUUAUGUAGUGAAGAAGGUUUUUUCUAGAGGGCCACUGAUAUUAGCAGAAAUGGAUAGUAAAAGCCUUCCCAACCCGGUAAAUUCAAAUUCGAUCAAGAAGUACUUCACCUAAAAAAGGAAAGGCCAAUGCGAAAACUCGAAAAGGGCGCUUUAAAAAAAAUGGAGAGGCCAAGGCGAAAACCCACAAAGGGCGCUUUGAGUUGAAAACCCAGAAAAGGGAAACUCAAAUUGUGAUCAAGGAUGGGGCAUGUUGCGGCCUUGUUUCUACCGGAAUUAACAAGAAGGGGGAACAUUACAUCUUGGGGCAUCGACGAAAUACUUCAGACCUCCUAAACGCACAUCUGGCUCCCAAUGGUUUUCGAGCCGUCCGAAUAGUGAAGCUCACACUGCCAUAUCUGGGGCACCUAUUUUCCAUCUUAUACAUUUUUUUGUACCUUAACAAAAUUUAUUAUCAUGAUAAACUUUUUACCUCGAGCUUCGCUCUCAAUAAAGUUUCACCUUGUCCAUCUUGGCAAUAUUUUUCAAGCAUUUCCUAUUAUUAAUAGACUAAUAACACUUUCAUAAAAGGUGUCCUGUAUAUUACUCUAGAAGUUUCUAAGUAGUGCAAGAACCCGAAACAGGUCAAUUAUUCAGAACUUACCAACCUUAAGGGUUAGAGUUACUUGAGAAGUAAAAAGUUUUGGUUAAGACUAUUGUUUUAGAUAGUUGUUAAAGAAAUCAGUUGAACAAGAAGAAAUACGUCAAUGACAAGCGGUGAGCAAUAAUAGCCUAAACGUAAAAAAAGGCAUUUUCAUGACAUUCUGCAUUUAUACAAAUGGCAUCCAUAAUAUAUCUAGUUAGGAGCAUUUGAUUCAUUUUGAUCAUAGCAUCCUAGUCUUUUGGCAUAACUAUAGGCAUAUAAAACCAAGUCUAUAAGACAUGUUCCUCAGAGGAUGGUGUAGCGACAUCGGUGGAAGAUAUAGAUUUCCUCUAAACAGUAGGAGAACAGAUCGAAGGUAGCGAGCCUUAACCCCCUAAGCAGUAGGGUAACAGGCUACAAAUUAAAGCUUUUAUCUCCAUGUAUCGGCUAUGGAGCAGAUCGAAAAUGGCGAGUCUUAUCUCCAUGUAUCGGCUGUGGAGCAGAUUUUAGCCAUCGACCUUAUCUUUCUGAGGUAACAAGAGAGCAGGUUAAAGAUAUGAGCCUUAACCCCCUAAGCAGUAAGGUAACAUGCUAAAAAUUACAGAUCUUAUCUCCAUGUAUCGGCUAUGGAGCAGAUUUUAGCCAUCGACCUUAUCUCUCUGAGGUAGCAAGAGAGCAGAUUGAAGAUACGAGCCUUAACCUCUUAAGCAGUAGGGUAACAUGCUACAAAUUACAAAUCUUAUCUCCAUGUAUCGGCUAUAGAGCAUAUCGAAAAUGGCAAGUCUUAUAUCUAUAUAUCGGCUAUGGAGCAGAUUUUAGCCUUCGACCUUAUCUCUCUGAGGUAGCAAGAGAGCAGGUUGAAGAUACGAGCCUUGACCCCCCUAAGCAGUAGGUAACAGGCUGCAAAUUACAGAUCUUAUCUCCAUGCAUCGGCUAUGGAGCAGAUUUUAGCCAUCGACCUUAUCUCUCUAAGGUAGCAAGAGAGCAGAUUGAAGAUACGAGCCUUAACCCUCUAAGUAGUAGGGUAACAGGCUGCAAAUUACAGAUCUUAUCUCCAUGUAUCAGCUACGGAGCAGAUCGAAAAUGGUGAGUCUUAUCUCUAUGAAUCGACUAUAGAGUAGAUUUAGUCACCGACCUUAUGUCUCUGAGGUAGCAAGAGAGCAGUUUGAAGAUAUGAGCCUUAACCCCCUAAGCAGUAGAGUGACAGGCUGAAAAUUGCAAAUUUUAUCUUCCAAAAGUCGUAAUGAAGUAGGUUGAGGACGCGGAGUGGAUUGAAAGCACAAUUCUUAUAUCCCUGAAGAUGCAGUGGGUUGGAGCGGGGCUACUUGAAAAAGAUGAGCAUAAAGAGGUCGAGAUAUGAGAAGAACGGGCAAAAUGACCCUUUUAGGGUCUUUGCUCCAUUCUCGUUACAUGACAAUGAGCAAAGAGGGGCAGCUGUAGACGGCCCAUUUCGCCCGGGGCCCAGAACACUACCAAAACCAAAAUAAAAGCAGACCAAAUAAAAAAAAAACAAAGUCCAAAUUACAUACCCAACCCAAAAACUAAAAUAAAACCCAAUUUAAUCAACCAAAACCAACCCAAACCCUCAAACCCAAUUACAAUAGGCCCAAACCUGAAACUCAAUCCAAACACCUAGCUCUAGCCCAAAAUUUCAGCCUAAAACUUUAACAUUUUUGAAAAACCCUA